UACGGAGUGCGCAAGCGUUACUCGGAAUCACUGGGCAUAAAGCGCGCGUAGGCGGGUAUUCAAGUCGGUUGUGAAAUCCCCCAGCUCAACUGGGGAACUGCAUCCGAUACUGUCUGUCUUGAGGACGAGAGGGGAGAGUGGAACUUCUGGUGGAGCGGUGAAAUGCGUAGAUAUCAGAAGGAACACCAAUAGCGAAGGCAGCUCGCUGGGACGUUACUGACACUGAGGCGCGAAAGCGUGGGGAGCGAACAGG
RNAcentral lists this ribosomal RNA (253 nucleotides) under uncultured bacterium. RNAcentral's name for it is "partial 16S ribosomal RNA". It matches the Rfam family "Bacterial small subunit ribosomal RNA", at positions 524 to 776 of the family's 1533-position model. The record is from RNAcentral.